GUUUCUGAUUUAAAAUGUUUUUAAUAAAAUUUUUAGACACCAGCGAUAAUAAGGUGUUAUGCGGCCUUUGGCUUUUUUCCCUAUUUUACUUAGUUCAAACUACAAUAAGUUGUGCCUCUGGUAAAAGUUGCCGUGGGUCUCAUGCAGUUGCGUUGGCAGUUGGUGCCAUCUCCACUUUGCUUAUUUCUGGUUCAGUAUUCUUGAAAUGUUUUUACAGUUAUAGACCUAGAGUUGUGGAUCUAAUAAUGGCUAUUUUCUUACUACUGUUAUGGACAGCUGGUCUGGGGGUAGGGACCUUUUACGGCCCCUAUGGCAUAGUAAUCGGUGCAAAUGCAAAUGGUUAUUUAUCCGCGUGGACGGCCUUCUUUUUAAGCGGCUAUUAUGUUUUUUUUUUCUGUUCCGCUCAUCAACAAAUUACAGCGCAUAAAAAUAGAAUUAUAAAUACAACCGGACUUCUUUUAAUUAGUACUUUGUUUUAUUUAAUAUCUUCUGCGAUAGUAUGUAAACGGGAGCUGUGCACGUCGUAUGUAGGAUAUGCGAUUGUUGUGGGCGCUGUAGGGCUUAUAUUCGCUAUGCUUUUGUUUAUCUCCAGGUUACUGGUAAAAGGGCUGUCAAAAAAAAUCGAGGUUUGUUUGGUUGGUUUCUUAUUUUUGUGGAUAACCUCCGGGACAGUUGUGGGAACUUUUGCUUCUCCGUUUAACCUUUUGGGAAAUGGGUACCUAACGGCUUGGGUAUCCUUCUUCGGAACUCUAGCUCUUUUAUUAGAGGUAGUGGGUCGAAAGUCAGAGCAGCCGGCUGGGAAUUAUCACCCAAACACUUUUGCAGCGCCGAUUUAAACUUUAAUAAAAGGCUAUACUUCAA
Long non-coding RNA from Zophobas morio, 861 nucleotides. RefSeq lists it as uncharacterized. The transcript is spliced from 6 exons. The record is from RefSeq and is a predicted model, not a curated record. Lineage: Eukaryota; Metazoa; Arthropoda; Insecta; Coleoptera; Tenebrionidae.